AACAAAUCAAUCCCUUCUGCUCGACGCUGGUUCUUCUUUCCGUGACUUCACCAGCGAUGAACGGGCUUCAGAAUCUUCCAACAUCCUCCGCUUCGCCUUCACCAACCCUCUUCGAGAAGGCCUCCGAUCUUGAGUUUGGGGGUGACACGAGCUCGUCAUCUUCGUCGGAAUAUCACCAUGAAUGUGAGUAGGAGCUCCCUUGGUUCUCGUUUCUAUCUGGCUUCUACAUUUGAUCCAAGCGAGGUACUUAGAAUGUGUAGUUUCAUAUCUGUCAUCUUGAUCUAAACAUUCAUUCGGUCAAGAUUCGAUUUAGGUUUGUCCUGAGGUUGCCGAUGCUAAAAAUCUCCCAUCAGUUUCUAGCCAAGUUUGUUUUCGAUAUGGGCUAUGGUAUUUUUGGCUUCGUUAUUUUCUAUUGGU
Non-coding RNA from Musa acuminata subsp. malaccensis (wild Malaysian banana), 417 nucleotides. The record is from RefSeq and is a predicted model, not a curated record. Lineage: Eukaryota; Viridiplantae; Streptophyta; Magnoliopsida; Zingiberales; Musaceae.